This 300-nucleotide ribosomal RNA is filed under the name uncultured Lactobacillus sp. Its description in RNAcentral is "bacterial SSU rRNA". It matches the Rfam family "Bacterial small subunit ribosomal RNA", at positions 495 to 794 of the family's 1533-position model. Lineage: Bacteria; Bacillati; Bacillota; Bacilli; Lactobacillales; Lactobacillaceae. The record is from RNAcentral.
GGCUAACGCGGGGGCAGCAGCGUGGGUAAUGCGGAGGGUGCAAGGGUUGUUCGGAAUUAGUGGGCGUAAAGCGCGUGUAGGCGGCUUGUUAUGUCGGGUGUGAAAGCCCUCAGCUUAACUGAGGAAGUGCGCCCGAAACUGGCAAGCUGGAGUGCCGGAGAGGAUAGCGGAACACCCGGUGUAGAGGUGAAAUUCGUAGAUAUCGGGUAGAACACCAGUGGCGAAGGCGGCUAUCUGGACGGACACUGACGCUGAGACGCGAAAGCGUGGGGAGCAAACAGGAUUAGAUACCCUAGUAUC